Long non-coding RNA from Mustela erminea (ermine), 267 nucleotides. RefSeq lists it as uncharacterized. NCBI's taxonomy places the organism in Eukaryota, Metazoa, Chordata, Mammalia, Carnivora, Mustelidae. The transcript has 3 exons. The record is from RefSeq and is a predicted model, not a curated record.
AUCCCAGAGGGUAGACUCAUACCCUUGAAGACCCUUUCUGUGAGCUUCUGAAAGUGCCUUGCAGUUUCUUGCUACAGUAUGCAUUCCAAAAUUCUCUGUUAACUGAAGGCACAGAUGAAUGCAUAAAUGAAUUAAUGAAUGAUUGUCAUUCAUUCAGCAGUGGGUUUCAAACACUGCUGUAUAUCAGGAAUCAGGAAAACGUAUAUUAAAGCUUCACAAGAGACCUCUGACUACCCAUGAGACAGCGAAAAUUGAAAGCAAGUGUUG